CACCCAGAGCAAGACCUCCACCUCCUCACCCAGAGCCAGACCUCCACCUCCAGUCAGAAGUCCUCCAGAACAGGUCAGUGCUCUGUGUGAGUGGUCUUCUCAGCUCAAAGGCGAGGCUGAGAGGCUGGGGACCGGAGGCUUGUGGUGCCAGGGUGGACCGGAGACUGAGGCUGGAGACCAGGGGCCUGCAGCACCGGACCAGAGGACCAGGAAUCCAUGGCUGAAGGAGCUGAUGGAGGAGCCGUGCUGAAGGCCCUGGGCUGGUGGAGGAGCUGGUGGAGGGCCUGCUUGGUGGAGGAGCUGGUGGAGGGCCUGCCUGGUGAAUGACGUCUGUCGUUGGGUAGAUGGAGCUUGACUCUGAAGUGAUCAUCACACUCACUGCCACUUCUCGUAGAAUACUGCUACCACAAACUACCGGCGAUUGUACCAUAUAUACCAGACGACGACAUCUGUUUUACCACAUGUUGAAGCAAGACUUCCGCUGUUUGUUCCAGACCAGGACUCUCUCUGAGGAGAGCUGCUGGAGGAGCUGAGACGCUGGAGGAAGACUAGGAAUCAACCAACAAGUAUUCCUCAACGUGUUUCUGGAGCGGAGGCGAGCUGGUAGGGGAGCCGUGAAUCUGGAGGAUGACCAUCACUCUACCAACAAGGAUUGGUGAGACUCGCGCUUUGUUCCAGACCAGGACUCUGGCUGAGGAGAGCUGAUGAAGGAACCAAGACUCUGUAGGACGACAUCACUCCACCAAACAGGAUCCUCGUAAGUUUGCCUAAAAUAAACAGUGGACUUGUUGUAACGCAGGAUUAGUUUGUCCAGUACAAGUUACGGCAUACUAUUGUGGUUGUUUACCAGACAAACUAUAGCUGCUACUUUGUUACGCGCCAUUAGAGCCCAACUACUCCUGUGUUUGACCUUACAUUUGAGACAAACUACUACUGUGCUUGUCACCUGAUAUUAGAGCAAACUACUCCUGUGUUUGUUACCUUGCAUUGGAGCCCAACUACUCCUGUGUUUGUUACCUUACAUUAGAGCCCAACUACUACUGUGUUUGUUACCUGAUAUUAGAGCCCAACUACUCCUGUGUUUGUUCCCUUACAUUAGAGACAAACUACUACUGUGUUUGUUACCUUACAUUAGAGACAAAUUAAGUUUGUAACCAGACCAGGAAUCUGGAGGACUGAUGGAGAAGCCAUACAUCUGGAAGGCAAAUCCUGAGGACCACCAGGACUCUACCAUCAAGAAUUCCUCAUAAAUGUGCAUUAUCUGGACAUAGUGGACUAGACACACCUGAGCUGAACCUCUCCUGAUCCUGUUUGGUCGGGGGUAGACACACCUGAGCUAAACCCGCCCUGAUCCUGACAUCCUGCUGGUCCCGUCUCCUCAGUUCAUCUGAGCCUCGUCCUCCAGAAGACCUGCUGAGCUCAGCAGUCUGAGGCUGAUGGAUCAAUGACCUCCAGUAGGAGUGAUCUUCUUGACCCCACAUGUAACCGUGUGCUUCCACACGCCUUUCCCUCACGUCUGUCACUAACCUCACUACUUCACUAAUCUCUACUGCUUCCUCUUUUCUUCCUUGUCUGUGGUUCAAACCUUUACACUGAAGGUGUGUCUUCCUGCCCUCAGAGGGUUUAGCGUUAGGGUUGAGAGUCAGGGUUUAGAGUCAGGGACAGAGCUGGUCAGGGAGGACUGCUUUUACACAAACCUCUUCACUUGCUUUUGGAAUGGUGGUGACAUUUUGAAAAGAUUCAUUUGGGAAAAUGUUUUCCUCUGCUUUCCUUUACAAAAUUGUAUUCAACUUCUGUCAAGUGUUUUUGUUUAUAUAUUAAAAUCCCACAUUGACUUCUACA
This is a long non-coding RNA of Gadus macrocephalus (Pacific cod), 1842 nucleotides long. RefSeq lists it as uncharacterized. Lineage: Eukaryota; Metazoa; Chordata; Actinopteri; Gadiformes; Gadidae. The transcript is spliced from 6 exons. The record is from RefSeq and is a predicted model, not a curated record.